RNAcentral lists this small RNA (107 nucleotides) under Marmota monax (woodchuck). Lineage: Eukaryota; Metazoa; Chordata; Mammalia; Rodentia; Sciuridae. The record is from RNAcentral.
GCUGGGUAUGGUGGCACAUGCCUGUAAUCCCAGUGAUUCAGGAGGCUGAAACGGGAGGAUUGCAAGUUCAAGGCCAGCCUCAGCACUUUAGUGAGAUCCUGUCUCAA